RNAcentral lists this ribosomal RNA (254 nucleotides) under uncultured bacterium. RNAcentral describes it as "partial 16S ribosomal RNA". It matches the Rfam family "Bacterial small subunit ribosomal RNA", at positions 526 to 779 of the family's 1533-position model. The record is from RNAcentral.
CGGAAGGUCCGGGCGUUAUCCGGAUUUAUUGGGUUUAAAGGGAGCGUAGGCCGGAGAUUAAGCGUGUUGUGAAAUGUAGAUGCUCAACAUCUGCACUGCAGCGCGAACUGGUUUCCUUGAGUACGCAUAAAGUGGGCGGAAUUCGUAGUGUAGCGGUGAAAUGCUUAGAUAUCACGAAGAACUCCGAUUGCGAAGGCAGCUCACUGGGGCGCAACUGACGCUGAAGCUCGAAAGCGCGGGUAUCGAACAGGAUU